RNAcentral lists this ribosomal RNA (868 nucleotides) under Hypocreales sp. FY-2022b. RNAcentral describes it as "partial large subunit ribosomal RNA". It matches the Rfam family "Eukaryotic large subunit ribosomal RNA", at positions 39 to 938 of the family's 3401-position model. The record is from RNAcentral. Lineage: Eukaryota; Fungi; Ascomycota; Sordariomycetes; Hypocreales.
CAUAUCAAUAAGCGGAGGAAAAGAAACCAACAGGGAUUGCCUCAGUAACGGCGAGUGAAGCGGCAACAGCUCAAAUUUGAAAUCUGGCCCCCAGGGUCCGAGUUGUAAUUUGUAGAGGAUGCUUUUGGUGAGGUGCCUUCCGAGUUCCCUGGAACGGGACGCCAUAGAGGGUGAGAGCCCCGUCUGGUCGGACACCGAGCCUCUGUAAAGCUCCUUCGACGAGUCGAGUAGUUUGGGAAUGCUGCUCUAAAUGGGAGGUAUAUGUCUUCUAAAGCUAAAUAUUGGCCAGAGACCGAUAGCGCACAAGUAGAGUGAUCGAAAGAUGAAAAGCACUUUGAAAAGAGGGUUAAAAAGUACGUGAAAUUGUUGAAAGGGAAGCGCUCAUGACCAGACUUGGGCUUGGCGAAUCAUCCAGCGUUCUCGCUGGUGCACUUCGCCUCGUUCAGGCCAGCAUCAGUUUGUCCCGGGGGAUAAAAGCUUCGGGAACGUGGCUGCUUCGGCAGUGUUAUAGCCCGCUGCACAAUACCCUGGGGUGGACUGAGGUUCGCGCUCCGCAAGGAUGCUGGCGUAAUGGUCAUCAGCGACCCGUCUUGAAACACGGACCAAGGAGUCGUCUUCGUAUGCGAGUGUUCGGGUGUCAAACCCCUACGCGUAAUGAAAGUGAACGCAGGUGAGAGCUUCGGCGCAUCAUCGACCGAUCCUGAUGUUCUCGGAUGGAUUUGAGUAAGAGCAUACGGGGCCGGACCCGAAAGAAGGUGAACUAUGCCUGUAUAGGGUGAAGCCAGAGGAAACUCUGGUGGAGGCUCGCAGCGGUUCUGACGUGCAAAUCGAUCGUCAAAUAUGGGCAUGGGGGCGAAAGACUAAUCGA